UAGGGAAUCUUCUGUGCAAUGGGGGUAACCCUGACCGAGCAACGCCGCGUGAGUGAAGAAGGUUUUCGGAUCGUAAAGCUCUGUUGUAAGUCAAGAACGAGUGUGAGAGUGGAAAGUUCACACUGUGACGGUAGCUUACCAGAAAGGGACGGCUAACUACGUGCCAGCAGCCGCGGUAAUACGUAGGUCCCGAGCGUUGUCCGGAUUUAUUGGGCGUAAAGCGAGCGCAGGCGGUUUGAUAAGUCUGAAGUUAAAGGCUGUGGCUCAACCAUAGUUCGCUUUGGAAACUGUCAAACUUGAGUGCAGAAGGGGAGAGUGGAAUUCCAUGUGUAGCGGUGAAAUGCGUAGAGAUCUGGAGGAAUACCGAUGGCGAAGGCAGCUCCCUGGCAUCGUACUGACACUGAGGUGCGAAAGCGUGGGUAGCAAACAGGAUUAGAUACCCUGGUAGUCCACGCCGUAAGCGAUGUCUACCAGUCGUUGGGUCUUUUAAAGACUUAGUGACGCAGUUAACGCAAUAAGUAGACCGCCUGGGGAGUACGGCCGCAAGGUUA
This 551-nucleotide ribosomal RNA is filed under the name uncultured bacterium. RNAcentral's name for it is "bacterial SSU rRNA". It matches the Rfam family "Bacterial small subunit ribosomal RNA", at positions 355 to 896 of the family's 1533-position model. The record is from RNAcentral.